AGAGUUUGAUCCUGGCUCAGGAUGAACGCUAGCGGCAGGCUUAACACAUGCAAGUCGAACGGUAACAUAAGAGCUUGCUCUUGAUGACGAGUGGCGAACGGGUGAGUAACACGUGUGCAACUUGCCUCCGACCGGGGGAUAGCCCGAAGAAAUUCGGAUUAAUACCCCAUAAAGAUUGAGAACCGCAUGGUUUUCUUUUCAAAACUCCGGUGGUCGGAGAUGGGCACGCGUCCUAUUAGUUAGUUGGUGAGGUAACGGCUCACCAAGACCGCGAUAGGUAGGGGUUCUGAGAGGAUGGCCCCCCACACUGGUACUGAGACACGGACCAGACUCCUACGGGAGGCAGCAGUGAGGAAUAUUGGACAAUGGACGAAAGUCUGAUCCAGCCAUGCCGCGUGCAGGAAGACGGCCCUCUGGGUUGUAAACUGCUUUUAUACGGGAAUAAACCCCCCGACGUGUCGGGGGCUGAAUGUACCGUACGAAUAAGCACCGGCUAACUCCGUGCCAGCAGCCGCGGUAAUAC
Molecule: ribosomal RNA, 523 nt
Filed under: uncultured Cryomorpha sp.
Lineage: Bacteria; Pseudomonadati; Bacteroidota; Flavobacteriia; Flavobacteriales; Cryomorphaceae
Description: bacterial SSU rRNA
Rfam family: Bacterial small subunit ribosomal RNA
Source: RNAcentral